Tetraodon nigroviridis (spotted green pufferfish) is the source of this 74-nucleotide non-coding RNA. NCBI's taxonomy places the organism in Eukaryota, Metazoa, Chordata, Actinopteri, Tetraodontiformes, Tetraodontidae. The record is from Rfam.
GGCACUGUGGCUUCGUUGGUCAAAGUGCCUGUCUAGUAAACAGAAAAUCCUGGGUUCAAAUCCCAGCAGUGCCU